RNAcentral lists this long non-coding RNA (1462 nucleotides) under Homo sapiens (human). RNAcentral describes it as "non-protein coding lnc-TDRD3-26:1". The record is from RNAcentral. Lineage: Eukaryota; Metazoa; Chordata; Mammalia; Primates; Hominidae.
AAGAAAAUUCACCUCACUCCAGACCUUCAUUCACAGGUCCAAUGGUGGUUGCAGCAGCCUUGGCAGGACUUCAAGCAGAAGCUAACUGCUCAGUUUGUCUGGAUUACUUGAGAUACCCUGUCACCAUCAAAUAUGGACAGAAUUUCUGUUAUUUCUGCAUCCAACACCUCUAAGCAGAUCUAAAUGAUGGUUUCUUUUGCCCUGUCUUCAUCAAUGCCCAAAGGGGCAUUUCAGGAGCACUACCCAUCUGGGAAAGAUGAUAGAAAUUUCCAAGCUAUUCUACAUCACCAAGAGCAAGAGGAUAAGGCAGGAACAAACAUGUUUGAGCAAGUACAACCAGAUUUUGACCCUUUCCUGCAAGAAGAAUCUAUAAGUGCUAUGUACCCUGUUCUCUCAGCCCCCUGACUACCGGGGCUACCAGAGGCCCAUAGAGAAGGCUGUUUCUCAUCACAAAUGAUAGAGGUACAAAAACUCAUAGCCAACCAAGACAGAAACCGAGACAGAAAAAAACAUUAGAACUGAGAAGGAAAAUGGAAAAAUCAAAGGUGGAAAUUAUCCUCUGAAUUUAAGCACCUGAAAGGAGUUUCUAGAAUGUGAGCAAGGGGCAGUGCUUUCAAGGCUGGCAGAGGAAGGAAAAGAUAUCGAACAGAAACUCCAUGCAAACACAGCAGCAUUUUCAGUCCACAUUUCCACACUCUACGGUCUACAAAAGGAGGUGGCAGAGAAGCUUGUGAUGCCAGAAGUAAAAUCUCUGGUGGACAGCAAAAUUAUUUAACACAAGUGUGAAAGCCUGGAAACCUUAGCCGUCUGUUCAUUCCAGUUAAGGAAAGAAGGAUGCUCUCCUCCUCCACAGUUUGUAGCUCUGCAACAAACAAACAAACAAACAAACAACAAAACAAAACACACACACACAAAACGACAACAAAAACAAAAAAACAACCUGGAAAUGUAAAGAAGAUGUAACUCUGGAAUCUGAAACAGCACAUAGUAACCUGCUUGUAUCUGAAAAUAAAAAAUCUGCUACUUUUGUGAACAAAAGGUAAAAAGUUAAUGUUGCUAAUUUCAUGUUAGUUCUGGGUUCUGAAGGAUUUGAGUCAAGCAAAUAUUACUGGAUGUCAAGCCCAAAUGGAUCCUGGGGCUUUGUAAGAAUUCCCUGUCCAGGAAGGGAAAGCAGUCCCUGUCAGGGCAGAACAGACACUGAAUAAUUCAGAAGCAAAGUGGUGACUAUGGGGCCUGAGGCCCUGUUCCAGUCACUCUUCUGCUAAAGGAGAAGCCAAGAGGAAUUGGGAUAUAUCCGGACUGUGAGUUGGCUGAGCUAUCCUUUUACUACUUGAAUGACAGAACUCACAUCUAUUCUUUCACAUAUCUAUGUCUUUAAGUACAUAAAGCCUUAUUUCUAAAUUGGAAUCAAAAUCUAUUACAAUCUGUGCAGUAACAGGCUGUGAAGGGUCAACUGUGACGU